CUUUUUUUAUAGUGAAGCUUUUGUAUUGUUUCUGGUUGUAGAUAUAGAUCAAUAGACCGAACAAUAUAAAUCUUGUGUACUUUUGUUCUUUUCUCUCUUUCUCCUUCUUGUUUCAUUUUUAUUCUCCAUGCUUGUUAUGACAAAACAACAAUUUGCUACAUAGAGUUCUUCUAAGUAGUUUCUAAGAUGUAGGAGGAAAAUAAAAUUUGGGCCAAAAUAAAAGGUAGGUAAUUGCACUCAUUAAUUGAUUGAAUGUAUAAUGUAUGAUAUACUUAGUAAUUCCAUGAUAAUGGGAACAAAUGAAGGGGGAGGAGGGGGAG
Molecule: long non-coding RNA, 320 nt
Filed under: Elaeis guineensis (African oil palm)
Lineage: Eukaryota; Viridiplantae; Streptophyta; Magnoliopsida; Arecales; Arecaceae
Description: long non-coding RNA (EGUI_LNC025707)
Source: RNAcentral